This is a long non-coding RNA of Salmo salar (Atlantic salmon), 1229 nucleotides long. RefSeq lists it as uncharacterized. The record is from RefSeq and is a predicted model, not a curated record. Lineage: Eukaryota; Metazoa; Chordata; Actinopteri; Salmoniformes; Salmonidae.
CCUGAUCACAUGAUUGUGCCUUCUCUAGAAAAAACAAAUGUCAUGCAUGUAGCUCUCUCAUGCACUCACUCACUCCCUCAAGCCAGCCAUAGAGGAAGGUUACUCCAGCCAUAAUUGUGCUAAAAAACUUGGAUGCUAUUGAUACUUAUGAUGUCAGGCCCAAGAAGCAAAAACUAGAUCUAGAUGUCGAAUGGCAGGGCCGCUCAUGAAAGACAAAGGCAGAAGGCAAAAUAACAGAUAUUGGAUGCUUUUCCGAGAUGGCCUCAAGGAAGUGUUGCCUCAUCCAGUGUUGGACAUCCAUAAAAGUAAUCUUCGGUCGAAAGACAAGAAUUACUGAUAGAAGAACAAGGAAUAGCAGAGCUGGGUUCAGACAUGCCAGAUGAUCAAACAUGCAAGAGGCUCUUGGCGUCAGAAUGGGCAAUAUGAGUAUUGCUAAUGAAGAUGAUGGCAGUUUGAAUGAGGAUGAGAUCAAUGACAUUCACAACAGCAUGAGAUGGACAUCAGCAGUCAUGAACCUCCAGUCCCACAUCCACCACACCUUGACCUUCCUGCGGUCUUGGCAAUCCCCUUACCACACUGGAGUUGCAAUAAUCAAGCAAGAAGCAUAUUACUGUUCACACAGACAAUGUUCUUUUUCUGGAACUUUAUUUUCAAAAAACAACCAGUGGACUUCUGAACUUUACAAAUAACUAAUAAAUUCACACAUAAACAAAUGUCAACAUGGAUUUUCACAAGACACCUAGACCUACCUAUAAAGCUAUGGCUACAGUAAGCUCUAAUAACCUUGUAAAUGAUUUAUACACAUUUUUAAAGGCCAAUCAUAUGAUUAUGGCUUGCUUCCUAUAAGAAAACAGACAACACAUAUUAUUCUUAUACAAUUCCUGUGUUUCUCACAUGUGACAAUAUAUACUGCCAACGUGUAGUUCUGUAUUUUGUGUAUGAAUGUGGGCUACUUCAUAUAAGACAUAUAGUCCACUUAUAUUAGUUACAUGUUUCAGCAGUACUCAUAUAAGAAUACUUUUGAUUCAUAGAGACCCUUUCGAAAGUACCAUACACAGUUAUACAGGUGUAACAUGAUGGGCUAUUGUGCUAGAAUAUGUUUAAUAGGUUACUGGAAUUAUAUUGAAUAUUGUUUAUACAUGCUAUCAAAUAUCCCUGCAUUAGAGUGGGAAAGAGAGUUAUGUUCAGAAGUUAUGCAUUUUCAUAAUAAAUUAGUCCUAUGAAAUAUC